This 1507-nucleotide ribosomal RNA is filed under the name uncultured bacterium. RNAcentral's name for it is "bacterial SSU rRNA". It matches the Rfam family "Bacterial small subunit ribosomal RNA". The record is from RNAcentral.
GGCUCAGAAUGAACGCUGGCGGCGUGCUUAACACAUGCAAGUCGAACGAGAAAGAGGGCUUCGGUCCUUGAGUAGAGUGGCGCACGGGUGAGUAACACGUGGGUAAUCUGCCCUUCAAUUUGGGAUAACAUUGCGAAAGUGAUGCUAAUACCGAAUGACAUCAUGGGAGCUUCGGUUUUCGUGAUCAAAGGUGGCCAAUCCUUGGAAGCUACUGUUGAGGGAUGAGCCCGCGUACCAUUAGCUAGUUGGUAGGGUAACGGCCUACCAAGGCGACGAUGGUUAGCUGGUCUGAGAGGAUGAUCAGCCACACUGGAACUGACACACGGUCCAGACUCCUACGGGAGGCAGCAGUGAGGAAUUUUGCGCAAUGGGGGCAACCCUGACGCAGCAACGCCGCGUGAGUGAUGAAGGCCUUUGGGUCGUAAAACUCUGUCAGCAGGAAAGAAGUUAUAGAGGGUUAAUACCCCUUUAUAUUGACGGUACCUGCAAAGGAAGCACCGGCUAACUCCGUGCCAGCAGCCGCGGUAACACGGAGGGUGCAAGCGUUAUUCGGAAUUAUUGGGCGUAAAGGGCGCGUAGGCGGCCGAUCAGGUCAGAUGUGAAAGCCCGGGGCUUAACCCCGGAAGUGCAUUUGAAACCGGUUGGCUUGAGUAUGGGAGAGGAGAGCGGAAUUCCUGGUGUAGAGGUGAAAUUCGUAGAUAUCAGGAGGAACACCGGUGGCGAAGGCGGCUCUCUGGACCAAUACUGACGCUGAGGCGCGAAGGCGUGGGUAGCAAACAGGAUUAGAUACCCUGGUAGUCCACGCAGUAAACGUUGUUCACUAGGUGUAGUGGGUAUUGACCCCUACUGUGCCGCAGCUAACGCAUUAAGUGAACCGCCUGGGAAGUACGGUCGCAAGAUUAAAACUCAAAGGAAUUGACGGGGGCCCGCACAAGCGGUGGAGCAUGUGGUUUAAUUCGACGCAACGCGAAGAACCUUACCUGGGUUUGACAUCUCGGGAAUCUUUAUGAAAAUAGAGAGUGCCCUUCGGGGAGCCCGAAGACAGGUGCUGCAUGGCUGUCGUCAGCUCGUGUCGUGAGAUGUUGGGUUAAGUCCCGCAACGAGCGCAACCCUUAUCUUCAGUUACCAGCGAUUCGGUCGGGGACUCUGGAGAUACUGCCCCGGUUAACGGGGAGGAAGGUGGGGAUGACGUCAAGUCCUCAUGGCCUUUAUGCCCAGGGCUACACACGUGCUACAAUGGUAUAUACAAAGGGUCGCAACCUCGCGAGAGUGAGCCAAUCCCAUAAAGUAUACCUCAGUUCGGAUAGGAGUCUGCAACUCGACUCCUUGAAGUUGGAAUCGCUAGUAAUCGCGGAUCAGCAUGCCGCGGUGAAUACGUUCCCGGGCCUUGUACACACCGCCCGUCACACCAUGAGAGUUGAUUGUACCAGAAGUCGUUGGGCUAACCCUUCGGGGAGGCAGGCGCCUAAGGUAUGGUUGAUAAUUAGGGUGAAGUCGUCACAAGGUA